GCAAAUCCGCUUUGAUAAUGCUGGGAUGUGAUGGGGAGCGAAAUUUAGUAGCGAAGUAGCUGAUUUCACACUGUCAAGAAAAGUCUCUAUCGAGGUUAAAGGUACCCGUACCGCAAACCGACACAGGUGGGUGAGGAGAGUAUCCUAAGGCCAGCGAGAGAACUGUUGUUAAGGAACUCGGCAAAAUGACCCCGUAACUGAGGGAUAAGGGGUGCCACCAUCAGGUGGCCGCAGAGAAUAGGCCCAAGCGACUGUUUACCAAAAACAUAGGUGUCUGCUAAGUCGCAAGACGAUGUAUAGGAGCUGACGCCUGCCCGGUGCUGGAAGGUUAAGGGGAUCUGUUAGAGCAAUCGAAGCAGUGAACUUAAGCCCCAGUAAACGGCGGCCGUAACUAUAACGGUCCUAAGGUAGCGAAAUUCCUUGUCGGGUAAGUUCCGACCCGCACGAAAGGCGUAACGAUUUGGGCACUGUCUCAACAACAGACUCGGUGAAAUUGUAAUUCCGGUGAAGAUGCCGGAUACCUGCGACAGGACGGAAAGACCCCAUGGAGCUUUACUGUAGCUUGACAUUGGGUCUUGGUACUACAUGUACAGGAUAGGUGGGAGGCUUUGAAACCAGGACGCCAGUUUUGGCGGAGCCAUCCUUGGGAUACCACCCUUGUAGUACUGGGACUCUAACCAUAG
This 683-nucleotide ribosomal RNA is filed under the name Clostridioides difficile. RNAcentral's name for it is "bacterial LSU rRNA". It matches the Rfam family "Bacterial large subunit ribosomal RNA", at positions 1536 to 2231 of the family's 2925-position model. The record is from RNAcentral. Lineage: Bacteria; Bacillati; Bacillota; Clostridia; Peptostreptococcales; Peptostreptococcaceae.